ACGACAAUGAAUCGUAUAUUGAAAUUGUCCUUGAACCCUCACGUGUAGGAUUUGAUGGUGGUGGUGGUAGUAGAGAAGAAGAGGAUGACUGCGAUGAUGAAAUGGAGCUGCGUAUAUCGUUGUCAUCCGGCGUUCUCCUUCCUGUUGAAACAAAAACCAGUGACUUAUACAAGUCUGUGAAUUCCUGUGCAUCGUCUUUGUCGUCGUCUUCUUCUUCGGCGUUUACUUUCAGCUCUUCCUCCACGGGGGCAGAAAGUCAGCGGAAUCAACAGGUUGAGUCCAAGCUUUGUAGUUCUAGAAUGCAGAAGACUAUUAGGAGCAAGGUAGAGUUUCCGGCGGUCAACCGCAUCGUCAAUACUUUCAUUUCCAGUUUCAGGGAAUNNAUCGUCGGAGAUUGGCCUAGGAGAUGGCCGCCCGCCGGAUGCCAACCGCUUGGACUUCUUAGCCAGCAGCAAUAGUACAAGGAAACCAUCAAAGAUAACAACAA
This 487-nucleotide unclassified non-coding RNA is filed under the name Hevea brasiliensis (rubber tree). The record is from RNAcentral. Lineage: Eukaryota; Viridiplantae; Streptophyta; Magnoliopsida; Malpighiales; Euphorbiaceae.